UAUUUUCUGUUUAUUCCUGCUAUGUAGAAUAGUUUAUUUUACAAAAACUUUGUUCUUUGCAGGAGAAUAUCAAAUUAUUUUGGUUCAAAUGUUAGCUCCGCCCAUUCACAGGCUGUAGUUGCGCUGCUUCAGCGUCAACGUCCCACCACACAGUUACCAGCUAGGUUGGUACACGUGCGUGUUCGGCUCUCUGGCAGUGGCACUUAACAGACACCAAGUUUGAAUGUUUCUUCUCUAUUAAUCCGGAGAAGGGGACAAAAGUGGAACAAACAAAAACAAAACGGCUCCAUGUGAAUCCAAGAGUCCUUACUUUGAUUCAGGACCUCUCAGACCACGAAUGGCGAGCUAUUUAAAAAGUUGUUCCUUCAAGUGGCCGCGACAGUGAACACCCAUGUGUUUCUCUAGAUGUUCUUCUGGAAGCAAUGCAGUUGCAUGUUAAUCAAGCCUUUACCAUGAUUCACAAGCUCUCCAUGAAUGGCAAGCUAUUUAAAAAGGUAUGUGUGCUAGUGCUACUGCUGCCCUUGAUUAUUGACUGACUUUACUAAUGAAACUAAUGGAGAAUAUGUGUUUCUGUCUCUUCUCUAUUCCAUUAGUUGUUCCUUCAAGUGGCCGCGACAGUGAACACCCAUGUUUAUCUAGAUGUUCUUCUGGAAGCAAUGCAGUUGCAUGUUAAUCUAAGCUUCUGUAACUUGAUUCAUGACCUUUUCAACCAUGAAUGGCGAGCUGUUUGAAAAGUUGUUCCUUCAGGUGACCGUGAACACCCAUGUUUAUCUAGAUGUUCUUCUAGAAGCAAUGCAGUUGCAUCUUAAUCAAGCCUUUACCAUGAUUCACAAGCUCUCCAUGAAUGGCGAGCUAUUUAAAAAGUUGUUCCUUCAGGUGACCGUGAACACCCAUGUUUAUCUAGAUGUUCUUCUAGAAGCAAUGCAGUUGCAUCUUAAUCAAGCCUUUACCAUGAUUCACAAGCUCUCCAUGAAUGGCGAGCUAUUUAAAAAGUUGUUCCUUCAGGUGACCGUGAACACCCAUGUUUAUCUAGAUGUUCUUCUAGAAGCAAUGCAGUUGCAUCUUAAUCAACCCUUUACCAUGAUUCACAAGCUCUCCAUGAAUGGCGAGCUAUUUAAAAAGGUGUUCCUUCAAAGUGAUGGAGCCGAUGAACACCUAUAUCACCUUUUUCCGUGGCUCGCUAUUAACAAGGUUCACAUUUAUUCACUCACUCACUACCACACCUCACUUAUAAUUCCUCUCUCUCACAAACACAAGUGCAACCACACACACACACACACACACACUUUAAUGAUCUCUUUCUCAUUAUUUUUUCAACAAUAAAUUUGCAUUAUUGUGAAUUGUA
Molecule: long non-coding RNA, 1345 nt
Organism: Fundulus heteroclitus (mummichog)
Lineage: Eukaryota; Metazoa; Chordata; Actinopteri; Cyprinodontiformes; Fundulidae
Exons: 7
Source: RefSeq, a predicted model, not a curated record